RNAcentral lists this long non-coding RNA (466 nucleotides) under Chrysolophus pictus (golden pheasant). Its description in RNAcentral is "lncRNA (ENSCPIG00010007097.1)". Lineage: Eukaryota; Metazoa; Chordata; Aves; Galliformes; Phasianidae. The record is from RNAcentral.
CUGAAGCAUUUGAAUGUCAAAGAAGUUUUGUCUGUUACAGCGGGUGUAGUCGAGUCACUAGUCUCUUGCCAUCGAGAAAAUCAGUCCAGCUAAAAUCCAGCAAGGUUUGUAUAUCGAAGAGGAAAGAGUCUUGCUCCAAGAAGAUUUUCCGGGUGACUAUAAUAGCUUUGGUUGCUGUUAUGGCACUAUGUGCUUUGACAAUAUCGACCCUUUAUGUACUUAGCAUCCAUGACAAAUAUCUUGAGAAACAUGUUGUUUCCAGGCAAGUAGUUGAACAAGUGCUAGAAUUAAUAUUGGACUGUGGACCGAUCUGUGGUCCACUGUGAGGACCAUUUCUUAAUGAAUUGUUUUUCUUUUUCUCCAUCAGCAAUACCUCAAGUUCUGUUGUACUCUUUCCCUCUACCACUACAGCAGGUACUGUAUCUUUGCCAGUCUGCAUGCAAAUAAAAGACUGUUAUAUAUUCCA